GCAGAGUUAAGUAAAAACGUACCAAUUAUGGAUGAUUUGAAUAGAAAGAGAUAUAACUUCUAAAGAUAAGUGUUCUGUAAGACUGGAUUAAAAAUUAAACCAUUUUUCAAGUAGGCUGUGUGAGUCACUGCUAGGGGACGUUUGGCUAGAACUGCAUAAAAAGAAACAAAAGUGAUUUAAUGCCUUGACAGCAUUACAAUAUACCAGUACGUCCUCCAAAUCCCAGGCUUUAAUGCCAUUAGGGCGUGAUGGCACAUCCGAACGUUCUGAUGGGAGCAGGGUUAAAUCACUGCUUAUUCUAGGGAGACAUAGGUAUUAAUCAAUACCUAAGGCUCCUUCUGUCAGCUGGGGCCAUAUUUAAUGGACCCAGUCUGACUGGUAAACUUUUCGCAAUACGAAAAGUCCCAGAGAACGCAUUACAUUUGUAAACCAAGGUACCACUGUUUCUAUUUAAAUUAAUCUAUUUUGUAUUUUUUUU
Molecule: non-coding RNA, 478 nt
Organism: Pelobates cultripes (western spadefoot toad)
Lineage: Eukaryota; Metazoa; Chordata; Amphibia; Anura; Pelobatidae
Source: the annotation of a GenBank genome assembly